UCCGUAGGGUGCGAUCGUUAAUCGGAAUUACUGGGCGUAAAGCGUGCGCAGGCGGUCCGUUAAGACAGUCGUGAAAGCCCCGGGCUUAACCUGGGAAUGGCGAUUGUGACUGGCGGGCUAGAGUGUGGCAGAGGGGGGUGGAAUUCCACGUGUAGCAGUGAAAUGCGUAGAGAUGUGGAGGAACACCGAUGGCGAAGGCAGCCCCCUGGGCUGACACUGACGCUCAUGCACGAAAGCGUGGGGAGCAAACAGG
RNAcentral lists this ribosomal RNA (253 nucleotides) under uncultured bacterium. Its description in RNAcentral is "partial 16S ribosomal RNA". It matches the Rfam family "Bacterial small subunit ribosomal RNA", at positions 524 to 776 of the family's 1533-position model. The record is from RNAcentral.